GGGCAUGUAGGAAAAUGGUCGCUUUUUUGACAUGGAAGAAGUCGUUGGUUCAAGUCCAAUCGUGAUCACCA
Molecule: transfer RNA, 71 nt
Filed under: Sulfurovum sp. AR
Lineage: Bacteria; Pseudomonadati; Campylobacterota; Epsilonproteobacteria; Campylobacterales; Sulfurovaceae
Description: tRNA-Val
Rfam family: tRNA
About the family: Transfer RNA (tRNA) molecules are approximately 80 nucleotides in length. Their secondary structure includes four short double-helical elements and three loops (D, anti-codon, and T loops). Further hydrogen bonds mediate the characteristic L-shaped molecular structure. tRNAs have two regions of fundamental functional importance: the anti-codon, which is responsible for specific mRNA codon recognition, and the 3' end, to which the tRNAs corresponding amino acid is attached (by aminoacyl-tRNA synthetases). tRNAs cope with the degeneracy of the genetic code in two manners: having more than one tRNA (with a specific anti-codon) for a particular amino acid; and 'wobble' base-pairing, i.e. permitting non-standard base-pairing at the 3rd anti-codon position.
Source: RNAcentral